RNAcentral lists this ribosomal RNA (484 nucleotides) under uncultured bacterium. RNAcentral describes it as "partial 16S ribosomal RNA". It matches the Rfam family "Bacterial small subunit ribosomal RNA", at positions 30 to 507 of the family's 1533-position model. The record is from RNAcentral.
AUUGAACGCUGGCGGCAGGCCUAACACAUGCAAGUCGAGCGGAUGAAGGGAGCUUGCUCCUGGAUUCAGCGGCGGACGGGUGAGUAAUGCCUAGGAAUCUGCCUGGUAGUGGGGGAUAACGUCCGGAAACGGGCGCUAAUACCGCAUACGUCCUGAGGGAGAAAGUGGGGGAUCUUCGGACCUCACGCUAUCAGAUGAGCCUAGGUCGGAUUAGCUAGUUGGUGGGGUAAAGGCCUACCAAGGCGACGAUCCGUAACUGGUCUGAGAGGAUGAUCAGUCACACUGGAACUGAGACACGGUCCAGACUCCUACGGGAGGCAGCAGUGGGGAAUAUUGGACGAUGGGGGAGAGCCUGAUACAGCCAUGCCGCGUGUGUGAAGAAGGUCUUCGGAUUGUAAAGCACUUUAAGUUGGGAGGAAGGGCAGUAAGUUAAUACCUUGCUGUUUUGACGUUACCAACAGAAUAAGCACCGGCUAACUUCGUG